This 21-nucleotide ribosomal RNA is filed under the name Eriolaena bernieri. RNAcentral describes it as "Dombeya bernieri partial 26S ribosomal RNA". Lineage: Eukaryota; Viridiplantae; Streptophyta; Magnoliopsida; Malvales; Malvaceae. RNAcentral also lists the same sequence under 1 other name. The record is from RNAcentral.
GCGACCCCAGGUCAGACGGGA